This 468-nucleotide ribosomal RNA is filed under the name uncultured bacterium. Its description in RNAcentral is "partial 16S ribosomal RNA". It matches the Rfam family "Bacterial small subunit ribosomal RNA", at positions 28 to 507 of the family's 1533-position model. The record is from RNAcentral.
GACGAACGCUGGCGGCGUGCUUAACACAUGCAAGUCGAACGGAAACGCCCUGCUUUUGUGGGCUGCUCUAGUUGCGACCGGGUGAGUUACACUUGAGUUCCCUGCCCUUGACUUUGGGAUAACUUCAUGAAACUUGGUCUCAUACCGGCUAGGAUCUCCUGCUUCUUGGUGGGGGUUGGAUAGUUUCGGCGGUUGGUGAUGGACUCGCGGCGUAUCAGCUUGUUGGUGGGGUAGUGGCUUACCAAGGCUUUGACGGGUAGCCGGCCUGAGAGGGUGACCGGCCACAUUAGGACUGAGAUACGGCCCAGACUCCUACGGGAGGGAGCAGUGGAGAAUAGUGCACAAUGGGCGGAAGCCAGAUGCAGCAAAGCCGCGUGCGGGAUGAGGGCAAUCGGGUUGUGAUCCGCAUUCGCCUGUGACGAAGCGUGAGUGACGGUAAUGGGUAAAGAAGCACCGGCUAACUACGUG